GGGAGGCAGCAUUGGUAUGCGGGCGAGGCUUAUAUCCUUGUAAUUGCUCCAGAUUAGAGUGCGCGAGUCGGUUCGAUUCCGACGCCUCCUACCA
RNAcentral lists this transfer RNA (94 nucleotides) under Ruegeria sp. YS9. RNAcentral describes it as "tRNA-OTHER". RNAcentral also lists the same sequence under 1 other name. The record is from RNAcentral. Lineage: Bacteria; Pseudomonadati; Pseudomonadota; Alphaproteobacteria; Rhodobacterales; Roseobacteraceae.